CGGACAGUGGCGCAAUCGGCAGACGCCCACGCCUUAAAAGCGAUGAGCCCGCAAGGGAUGUCGGUUCGAAUCCGACUUGUCCGACCA
RNAcentral lists this transfer RNA (87 nucleotides) under Sulfuritalea sp. Its description in RNAcentral is "tRNA-Leu". It matches the Rfam family "tRNA". From Rfam's summary of the family: Transfer RNA (tRNA) molecules are approximately 80 nucleotides in length. Their secondary structure includes four short double-helical elements and three loops (D, anti-codon, and T loops). Lineage: Bacteria; Pseudomonadati; Pseudomonadota; Betaproteobacteria; Nitrosomonadales; Sterolibacteriaceae. The record is from RNAcentral.